UACGAAGGGGGCUAGCGUUGCUCGGAAUCACUGGGAGUAAAGCGCACGUAGGCGGAUCUUUAAGUCAGGGGUGAAAUCCUGGAGCUCAACUCCAGAACUGCCUUUGAUACUGGGGAUCUCGAGUCCGGGAGAGGUGAGUGGAACUGCGAGUGUAGAGGUGAAAUUCGUAGAUAUUCGCAAGAACACCAGUGGCGAAGGCGGCUCACUGGCCCGGUACUGACGCUGAGGUGCGAAAGCGUGGGGAGCAAACAGG
This 253-nucleotide ribosomal RNA is filed under the name uncultured bacterium. RNAcentral describes it as "partial 16S ribosomal RNA". It matches the Rfam family "Bacterial small subunit ribosomal RNA", at positions 524 to 776 of the family's 1533-position model. The record is from RNAcentral.